UUUUUUUUUUUUUUUCAAUACGAAAAAGAAGCUGAGUUGGAUGCAAAGCAAAUUGGAGCAUGUAAUCUUUGAUAUCUUUUGUUUAUUCAUUAAGAAUUAUUUUGUUAUGAAAUGCAUCCCUGUUAGUCAUGCUUGUUGGUUCAUUUUUUUGUCCAAGUUCAGUUUGAAUAAAGCAUUUGACCAGUCAGAUUUGAGUUACUUGUUCAAUUUAUAAUUGUUUGGUAGCAGC
Molecule: long non-coding RNA, 229 nt
Filed under: Olea europaea (common olive)
Lineage: Eukaryota; Viridiplantae; Streptophyta; Magnoliopsida; Lamiales; Oleaceae
Description: long non-coding RNA (OEUR_LNC006961)
Source: RNAcentral